CCUCUCUCUCUCUCUCUCUCUCUCUCUCACAUCUCCCCUCUCGCUGAGACCCUAGAGAAGUAGAAGGUGAAGCGGGCGGGCAAACCCUAAUCCUAAACCUCGAGGUUUAGUCGAUCGAGGGCGUGGCUUGGAUCCUCCCUACCGAGUCCUCCGCGAGCAGGCGAGCUGUGGCGAUCGGAGGAUUUGGCGGGCGAGAUCCGAAAUCUAGCACCUGCCUCGACUGGUGGCGGAUUCCGAUGGGGACGGCGGUCUUCGCGGCGGCGGGCCACGGUUUAGCUCUGACCUGAUCGAGCUGACGUGCUCGGAAUUGCAGAUAUCGCGGUUUGAUUUGGGGCAUCCUUACCUCGAUUAUUUGGAUUUUAUGUUUAUUUUUAACGCUAUUUCAACAUUUAAUUCUAAGAAUUAUGUCGCUUCAAGGAGUUCUUUGGCUGUGGCUUUUUAAUAAGAAAAACAACGGUGAAGCUUGAAAUGAUCAGUGCUUUUUGCGAUUUUCUCGGAUUUUAGGAAUUUGGAGGAGGUCAGUAGUUGAUUCUUUCGCUAGAAAGGCUUGGUUUUGAGCUAGAUAGAUUCAAUUUUUUCUCCUCCUCCUCAUUCUUCUUGUUUUUUAAGCGAGCUUUCUGGUAUUUCACCAAAAAAAAAGCGAGCUUUGCCGUAUCAGUGGAAGAAAUGUUCGGGUACUAGCGGUUCUGAUGGCAAUUUUGUAGGUAAAUUUGCUGUCUGAUUCGAAAAAUUCCGUCUUGAGGAGUUUUUUAGGUUUGUUUUCUGGCAAUUUUCGUCGAUGUGAACUGUGUUCUGAAUUUAAGUGAUUCGAUUUGUUCUCGUUUUAAUGAUUUAUUGGAGAUCAGCGGAAGAGCAGUUGGGGCAUCAGAAAUCAAUAUGUCGAUAAAUAUCUGAAUUAUUACUGUUAUCACUUUUCUUUAAAAAUAAGGAUAGCAUCAUUAGCUGCUGAGAGGUUUAUUAUAAUUACAUUUUCUAUUUUGGAUUUUAGCGGGUUUUCUACCCCCUUUUUUUGUCUCUCUUCAGGACUUUUACAGCUUCUUUGACCACCGGUCUCUCAAGGAAUUUAAUUAAUUUGUUUCUAAUCAAUGCAUGGAGGAAAAUAAACACUAGAAAAUUUUCUUUCGCAGACAUGAUGUCUCUUGGACUUUACGAGGAUUUGACUGUAAUUUCUGCUUCUUCUAUAAAAGAUUGGGAGGCGUUUUGCUUUUAUUUAUUUAUUUAUUUUCGGUGGCUUUGAUGCGGACUGCGAGAAGGGAGUGAUUGGAUUCCAAUCUAGGGAGAGUAAUUAGUUCGCUUUUUCCUGUUGCUUUUGCUGUGCUCUAGUUCUGGUACAGGAGAUGACAUCUAACGCCUAGAAAAGUUCUCUCCCCCCAAAUUAAGUUUGGGGCCGAUUUCAGCGACCCAUCUAGUUCAUUUUUAUUUUAUUUUAUUUCUUGUGAUGACGACGAUUUGGGAUUGUCAAUCGUGUUUAGUAGGUUGAGGAAGGUUUUUAAGGAUUUGGACGCUCACCUUUUGUUCUUUUCUACCCGGCUCUCCCCGUGGUAUUUUGGAGGUGAAGGACAGUUCGACCUCUGUUUAUAUUUGGAAACUUUAAUUUGGAAAGCUUUGGAACGAAUUUAUCAAGUGGAUGGUUUCUCUCCUUUUCCUCUGAAAACCAGGCUUUGAGCGGAACAGUGCAGUAGGGAUUGCUUUCUGUUUUUGUACCUUUUCUUGUUAAUUUGUAAUGGCUUAGUUUCCAUGUUUUUGUGUGCAGGGGUUGCUGGAUAUUGCCAUUGUGAUUUCGUUUUAGAGCAUUGGUGUGAUGAUCGUGAAAAAAAUAUACAUCUUACUGUAAAUAUUUUUGUUGUUAGGGAAUUCUUGAGACUUUUUUCUUUUCUUUUUUUCUUUUGGAUUGCUUUUUUUUUGAUAUACAUAAGUAUGGGAGCCAACUGUUGUGUGGCUGCAAGGGACAAGCCAUUGCCUGACAGAUCACAGUUUGAAGUUUCUACGUUUAGGAAUCUCAGACGCUCACCUUCAUGGAGCUUUCGAUGGGAUAAUCGAACACACAUAGAGGAUAUCAUGGACAGCCUGGUCCAAAUUUCUCCUCACAAUAGUGGGAAUGCAAGUUCUGAAAUUAAAAGUGGGGCAACAACAGAAACUGAAGGCCUUUCAGAUAGAGGAAGUCAGCAAAGUCCUUCUAAGACACGAAAAUGGAAUAAAUCCUCUACAAAUAUUGGAAGUGAUGGCAACUCUAAACCUACUGCCGAUCAAUUUGUUCAAAGCAAUUCAUCCCCUGAGGAAAGGAACUCCAUUGAGCCAUCAGGCAAAACAAGUGCUUCAGAUGGAAAGCCUUCAAUUUCAGUUCCAAUAACUCCGUCAUUGGCAUUCAAAUCAGAUCCUUCAUCUUCCAGAAGUCACUCUCUAUCCUCAGACCCAACUUCAUCAAGGAAAGCGCAUUGUUCGCCAGGAUACCAGCUCUCUAGGCAGGUCUCUGAUAGCAGGAUUCCAUCUCUCAAGUCCAUGAAUGAGAACAGCUCUCCUGAAAAAAAGCAGUCCUCUGUGCUCUCUGUCUGCAGCAAUGACUUGUCCACCGGAGGAUCUCAUGGUGGGUCUUCUGAUGGUUGGUCCAUGCGUACAUUCUCUGAGCUGGUGGCUUCUUCUCAGCGUGAGAGAUGGUCAAUUGACAGUGAAAACCUUAGCUCCAGCAACUGCAAAAUAGAAAUAUCAAACACUCAACAAACAACACCUCUCUCUCCUGAUUGCCAUACAUGCAGAGUAUGCUCAAAGCUAUUAAAGGAGAGAUCUCCAUGGAGCGCUCAGAAAAUAGUGUCUACCAAUGAGCUCUCCAUUGUUGCAGUUCUGGUUUGUGGGCACGUCUAUCAUGUUGAUUGCUUGGAAAACAUGACACCUGAAGCUGAGAGAUAUGAUCCACCCUGUCCUGUCUGCACGCAUGGAGAGAAAUUUAUUGCAAAGCUGUUGGGAAAAGCUGAGUUGAAGGGAAGAAACAAGAUAUCCAGGACUGCAGUGGCUGACGUUGCUGUGGACAGCAAUUCUCUCUCUGAGCACCAGAAAAGGAGUGGGAAAAGACCAAGAGCCGGUUCUAGCAUGAAGAGCUCCUUUGGUAGGCCUUUCUUGAGGUGGCGCUUCUCCAUUGGGUCGCGACCGACUCGUUCAAUAUCAGACAAUGAGUCCACAAGGAAGAAGGGGUUCUGGGCAAGGUACCUGAGGGAUUAAACUAGCCCUUGCUUUCCCAUAUGAAGAGUACCUCUCUUAUUUCUCCAUGAAUGCAAAGCGUCUGAAUUGUUCCCGAGCAAGCAUGUGUUUCUGUAGUGAUAACAAAGGAUGAUGGAGAUAGCUGUACUAUCAAGCUUCCCCAUGGCCUUACCAUUCUGGAAACCCCAGGGCACUCGGCAUGCUCUCGGAUGCAGGAUAAACUUCCCCCUUUUGAAAGGACACUCAUUGCAGGUUUAGUGUAUACUUGGAUGGUUCGCUUAACAUAUAGCUGGUAUCUAGUUCUGAUGCCUUGAUCUUUUUCAUGGAAACUCAUGAUUGUGUGAUCUACAGAUCCAGUACUCAUAGAAACUGGUGAAGCAACUUCUUUCACUAACUGACCUUUUUCCAUCCUAAAAGCUCUAUCCAGGAAGCAGGCUCAAUUAUAACUAAUGUAAAAUCUUGAAAAUUUGGCAAUCACAUGGCAAUGGCUGACUUUGAACUGGGGGAGCAGGCGAAGCUGCCGUAAAUGAAUGUUGAAAUGCUUCCAAUUUGCAGGGAGGCUACCAUGCUUCUCAUAAUCCAAUCAGUUUAGCUCGUACAGAUGCCAUCUGAUGUUGGGUAAUGAGGAAGGACAAUUCAAGCAUUUGAGCAUGGGCACCAUUAAAUUUCAAUCAUCAGGGAAGUUUUGGUGGGGGCUACUUUUUUCUUAAAUUGUCUGUAAUUGUUUGACUGGAGUUAGGUCUACUUCUCCAGUACAUGUAUCUGUUUUUGAUGGUUUGAGACUAUUCAUUUGAUUAUGUCAUCUUAAAUAUAUAGCUUGUAGAACUCA
Phoenix dactylifera (date palm) is the source of this 4021-nucleotide non-coding RNA. The record is from RefSeq and is a predicted model, not a curated record. Lineage: Eukaryota; Viridiplantae; Streptophyta; Magnoliopsida; Arecales; Arecaceae.